This is a long non-coding RNA of Vicia villosa (hairy vetch), 7518 nucleotides long. RefSeq lists it as uncharacterized. The record is from RefSeq and is a predicted model, not a curated record. The transcript is spliced from 4 exons. Lineage: Eukaryota; Viridiplantae; Streptophyta; Magnoliopsida; Fabales; Fabaceae.
CAACGGGCUCUUAAAGUUUUUCCGGAAGAAUGAAUUUUAUUACACUUUCAUUGGACAAACAAAAACUCCUUUCAGAAUGCUUUUGCUUGAUAAACCUGACGUCGCCGGUCACCGCAACACGCUUCCAGCGACGGUCAAUCAAGCUCCAUCGGCUGAGACGGUCCUUUUCACUGAUCACAAAUUCACAGCAUCACCGCUUCAAUCCAAGGUGGGCCAAUGGUGUGUAGAAAUAAGGUGAGAGGGAGCAUGAAUACGUACAUGAGGAAGGAUCGGGUCAUUGCAUAUAUGAAGGCUUGCAGCUUCCAUCACUUUCAGUUCUGGAGCAUCAAGGAAAUUAACGAUCCGAGCAAAGGCAACUUUUGCCUGAAUGAUCACUGCAAUAACAUCCGAGAUGUUUGAAAUCGGAUCUUGAACAAGGCGCAAAGUUGCCACAAAAGUGAAAACGUUACUAGCAUUCAAAGGAACAUUCAAGAAGUAACAUGCCAUAAAAGAAGCAGCAGACACCAAUAUCGGCGAGGUCCAAAAGAAAAACAUAUGCUUGAAGAACCAAUGGGGCGAACUAGAGUUGAUGUGUGAACACUUCGAGUGGCAAUGAUGAGAAUCGGUAUCAAAGCAAAUUAAGGUACACUUUUAUCACUUUCUAGACUUAACAUGGUUAGUUGAUUGUGUGUGCAAAUUGCUUAGCAUAAAUUCCUUGAGUCACAUGUCAUUUUUGAAUCAAAAUUUAGAACUUAACCAAUUGUGAGGAAGCUUUUCACUGUGCACUAAAUGCGGGAUACCGGAAUUUAUUUCAACUCAUUUUUAUCAUGCUAAACCAUGCAUUAUUCUUGUUUGCGAAAAAGUGUGAAAGUGAUAGAGGCAUUGUUUGAAUUUGAGAAAAACCACUUGGCCAAAAAGUUGAAUCAAUUAACCUUGUGAGGAGUGAUCCUUAGUUAACCCCUUUGAGCUUAUAUUAGGAUUCAUGUGAUUAUUAAAUAUGUUUGAUAGAUGAAUCCUAAUUUCUUUUGUUCAUUAAAACCUUCAACCACAAUGGUUGUAAUUGUGCCUUUUGCCUAUGUCUAUGUAGGGAGCAUUGUUGUAUCUACUAUGGUUUGAAUCCUAAAGUUGGGGAGAGUUAAUUGAGAAAUUAUGAAAAAGUGGUACUUAUGAGUUUUGUGGUAAUAAGAAAAGAACAACACAUUUUGGAAUUAUGAAGCAAGAAAAAGAAUUAAAAUCGCUCCCGAUAUGUGUCGUUGAAAAAUAAUGAAAAAGAAAAAGAAAAGAAAAUGGGAUUCAAGCAAGUGUUAUUUGUUAAGUGAAUUGAUAGGAAUGCUCCCUUAGGAUAGACAUUUUUGUAUAAUUUCCCUCUAGUAACACCCUUUCUUUGUAACUCAACCCACAUUACAACCUAUGAAAGCCCUUUUGAUUCUCACUUUGCACAUAAUUUUUGAACUUGUUGUGGUGAACGCAUGAUUUGAGUUGUUAUUGAUCUAAAUGUCCAGAUGAGUGAAUGUAAAACCUCUUGUAUUCAUCAUCACUAUGAUGUGUGUGUAGGUUUGAUUUAAUUUUGACAUGUCUUGUUAGAAUUUCUUGAGAAUAAUUUACACUUUACCAUCAUUCUUUCUCAUUCUUUGUUUUAGCAUUGUGGUAGGUGUACUUUGAAUGGACUUAUACUUUUGAGCCAUUUGAGUGUUCGGUCAUCUUGUCAUCAUUCUCUUGUUGUGUUGCUCUGGUUGCUUCUUGUGAAUUUUUGUUUAGGGACAAACAAAAUGGUAAGUUGGGGAGAGUUGUUAGGGACCAAAUAGUACUGAUUUUCAUAUAUUGUUUUUGGUCCCUUUAAUCACUUUUCACUCAAUAAUCACACUUUUACUCAUACAAUUUAGUAAAUUUGCAAUUUUGUUGGUUUUAGGUUUAUUUGAAUUGUUAUGUCACAUGUUUGUUAGUUUUGUAGUGUUUUGAAAAGGUUUGAAGAUCAUAGGAAAUGAAGAUGAAUUGCAUGAAGACUUGGAAUAGCAAAAGGAGUGCUGACAAAGCCAGUUCGCGCCGCAAACUACCUUGGCGACACGACCUGAAGAAUCCAGACCAAGUUCAGCUUUGAAUUGAAUCUGAUGUGGCAAAAUAAACUCAGUUUGCGCCGCAAACCAUCUUGGCGCCGCAAACACGGCGAUUCAGAACUUGUUCUUUUAAUUUGUUUGCCACUUGUCAUGAGUGAAGGCUUAUCUUUUGAAUAUGAAAAGUCGGUACGAAUUGGGAUUAUUUUUUGAGAAUAGAAAAACAUAACCAAAAGUUAUCUUAUCAUUAGACCAAACAUUGAAAGGCUUAGGGUUCUAGAGAGAAAGCUUGCACCUUUGUGAGAGAUUGGUGUUCAUAGUUUCUUCUCCAUACCUUUUGCUAGCAGCCAUGGUGAUGAGUAGCUAAAUCCCUCUUUGACAGGAUUGGAGGUAGUAGUUAUCCUUGUUGACUAUGUAUCUUCUUUAGCACUUUUGUAUGAACUUCAUUGGUAUUGGAAUAAAUUGAUGUUUUUGUUCUAUCUUUUAUAUUUAGAUUUGGAUUAUAGUUGAGAAAUAUAUUUCAAAUCUUGGUCUAAAAUAUUUUCUCAAGUGGUGAAUAAAUUGUAGAGAUAGGUUUAUUCACUACUUUUCUACUUGUAUCAAACAUUCAAGAUUAGUAUAUUGAUAGUUAGAUGGAGAGAUCGUCUAAAGAUUGAUAUGCUAACCAUCACAACUUCAUUUAGACAUAAAUGUUGUUGAGAGGUUACUAGAACAUUUUCAUUACUAUUGAAGUUAUACAUUGGUUGCUAAAGUCACAUAAAAGAUAGGGAUAGUGAAACCAAAACCAAUCUUGUCAUUCUUUUAUUAUUGAAACAAGUCUUUUUAUAUUGCUCAUUUUAUCUUUUUAUUAAAAAAAUAGAAACUCAACUCUAACCAACUUUGUUACAAUUUGAACUUAAAGCGAUAGUAACUAUAGAACGACGGUAAUAUCACCUAAUCUCUAUGGAUACGAUACAAAAAUAUUUGCCUUGAAUAUACUAUUCAACAAUUAUCUGGAGUUGUGCAUAUUUUGCGACAAAACAAUUUGCUCCAACACUAUGUACAACUCCAGAUAAUCAUAACCAUAAUACUUAUGGUUAAGGAACAUGUUUUGAACCUCUAUGUCAGUUUGUAUAUGUGAUUGAUAAAACCUGGCCGAAUUGUUAGGUUGGACAUAUGGUUGUUGGUAAAAAAAUUGAGAGUCUGGUUCUCUAAUUUUGGACUCGAUUUUCUUUUUUAGAUACGAGAAAUCCGCUCUUUUAUUUAGAGAAAAACAUGUGGAAUUAGUGUUUCUAAAUAUGUGUUAAUAUUUUUGAGAAGUGGUGUAUAAAUAUUGUAAUACGGUGAACUGACUUUUUAUCGAUCGAAAUGUCGCGGUAAGCAAGAGUCGCCACCGACUUUUAUUUUAUCCAAACAAUAUUCGGAAAGGCAAAAAGAAACAGAAAAAAAACCUUUUUUAAAGAAAUCUAAGUUCGGGGGGUAAUUUAUGCAAAGGGAAGGUGUAAGGCACCCUUUAAUCCAUGGUUUUCCAUGGGCUCUUAAUUGCUUUGCUUGCUCGUUUUCAGAAAAUGUAGAUGAAAGAGGAAAAAUGGACUUUAGCUCGUAAAUGAGCGUAGCCAGUUUUUUUUGAAGAAUUUUGAGAAAGAAUAUAGAAAAUUGAGCAUUGCAAGGCAAUUAGGGGCAAUUACCUGAAACUCAGAUGAUAGGUCUCUUUUUAGCCUUUCAGAAUGAAAGGGUCUAUCCUUGCCAUAAGAGGGCAGGAAGCCUUUCGUUUGGAGGUUGAAGGGUCAUCGAAGCAUCCUUUGCCAUAAGACUGUCCCAUGCCAUAGAAGGGCAGGUAGUCUAAGGCAAGGAUCAGAAUAAGCCAUUUCGUAGGCAGCCAGAAGAUACCUCAGCCUUUUUUCGUGGGCAACUUCCGAGGGUCGAGGUCAUAUUGUGUAUCGAAGGCAGCAUCAUUUAGGGUCGUAUGACCUUUAGUAUUCGAGGCAACAUGGCUGAGGUAUCUUCGAAUUCGAGGAACGUGGCUUAUUCUGCAAAAACACAAAGGCAACAGGCAACAAGGCAACAAGGCAAACAGGCAACAAGGCAACAAGGCAACAAGGCAACAAGGCAACAAGGCAGCAGAGAGGUUACCCCAAAAGUGUGUGUGGGUGCAACAAUCAUGUGAUUAUAUUCAGAAAAUUAUCUUAUAAUUAACUAUCUAAAUUGAUUUAAGGCUUGCACUCCCUAAGAUUACUAACCACACAAUAAUAUAAACAGUAAUAAUGGGGAAGGGAAAUUGUAACCAGCGGAGGAGAGGGGAAUUGAAACCAGCGGGAUAUAAUUAAAAACAGAAAAUAUAAUAGUUUAGGGUUUUAGGGUUACCGAUACUCGUAGCUUUGGCAAUUGACAAACCCUGAAGAUUUGGAAAAGGAAGAAUAAACAGAAAAAUGGAUGAGUGCAUUAUCGAUUCAAAUGAUAAUUGGGGUUAACCCUAAUCAAUAACAAUAACAAUAAAAGAAAAAGAGUAAAAGAAACUUAGCUUCGAUUGAUGAAGGUUGAUGGGCAAAGGUUUGCCUUGAGCCUUAAGCAUUGACCCUGACCAUUUAAAGAAUUGGAAAAAAAUAGAAAAAAGUAAGUGUAGGAGAAGUUCAGUUAGCAAGGGCACUAAACCCUGAUUAAAUAAAGUAAUAGGUAAAUAAAUAUUUGAAUAAGGGAGGUUAAGAACUUAGCUUCGUUCUUUUGACGUGGCGCAUAGUCGGAGGUAAAAUCCUGUUGCUAAUCCUGAAAAGCAAUGCACAAAGAAAAGAUUUUAUUUUUCAGUGUAUUAUUAAUCCUGGUUAAGAUUCAAAUGGAAUAUAAGGAUAAAUCAAUUUAAUUAAUUAUUGGUCUUGCGACCUAAUUAAUUAAAUCGAGGCGAAAAACUAAAUUGAGUAAAAAGUAAUUUUUUUGGAAUUUUUAGAAUUAAAAGAAAAUACACAUAAAUUUUUAAAGAUUUAAUGGUAAAUUAAAAUAAAUAAAGUCAUUUAAACAAAUAUUAAAAGGGAAACAAUUAAAUAAAUAAAUUAGAUAAAUAAACAUAUAAAAGGUUUUUAUGAAAUCUUAUAUAGUUUUUAUGUAUAAAAAUAAAAUUAAAAAUAAAAACAAUCAUAUAUAUAUAUAUAUUAUAAAUAAGAUAAAAAGGUUGUGCAAUAAAAAAUUAAAAAAAUUAGAAAUUACUUAACUUUUGAUCGUGUGUGGGUUGGCUGGGUGUCCAUAUAAUGAUCUUUGGAUCCUGGUACGUCCGAUCCAAGGCGCUAGUAAUCCAAGGGUUGAAUUUUGAGGGUGCACAGCAAAUCUUGUGAAUGAGGCGCAUGGGAUCAGAAUGAAAUAUGUGUUGAAAAAUAAACGCGAGGACCUGGGGAUCGAACCGGCUCCCCCAAGGUUCCACAAGGCGCCUCUUACCAUCCAGCCAAGCUCUUUGUUUUGUUUAUGAUUCGCCUUCAGAACAAGAUAAAGAAGAACAAGAAAAAUAAAAAGAAAAAGAGCGCGCGAAUUCAAACGGGCGAAUGACUCCACGCCACGUCUUCAUCUUCCUCAGAAAACCUGCAACUGGCCUCUUAACUUUGCUACGAAUUAGCUAUGACUUUGUUCAUAGCCAAUUCACCUGCAACAACGAAAACCUCAUGCAAGCACCAUAAAUUUAUCGCGAAUAUGCUAACAUGAUCGUCCAGCCUUUACGGAUAUAAUAGGCAUCAUAGUUCUUCCCAAUUUUACCUAUAUUGGAAAACCCUAAUUCGAAAGCUUCGAACCCUACCAUGGUGAAACUUGUUCUAGGCACAGAUUCUCCAAUUAAAUUAUCCAGAAACCUCAUAUAUACUAUCACGAACACGAAUAUGCAAUCGAAACAUGUUAAAGAUGCGUGAAUUAAGAGAAUCGAUCAAAGGAAAGUGAGUGCAAACCGUGACGGAUUUGAGAAGAUUCUGAACGUGUUCCUUGCGUGUGAGGAUUGGAAUCCCUUCAGUGAACACCAAGGAACGUUUUGGAAUGCUUGCCCUGCUUUGAAUUGGCCUUAAACUCCAAAGAUGAUUUUGAGUUUUUCUUGAAUUUUUGCUCCGGAUUUGAAACUCUUUGACUGCCGAAAAAAAUCCUCCCUUAGGGUCUGCACUUGUCAUGUAUUUAUAAAGGUUGAUUAGGGUUGAUAAUUUGUGAGGAAAUCCCAAUGAAUCUUUGAUUUGCAAUUUGGUAAAAUAUGAUUGAAAUUAUGUUUCUAAAUAUGAUUCAAAUCCCAUCUUUUUCUACCAAUUAGCCUUUGCACGAAUUUUGUAUGAUUAUUGGAUAUUAUUUGGAUUGAUGAUGAUUGAAAUUGAAGGAAAAUCAAAUUUUUGAUUAUUUUCAUAUUUUAUGCAAUUAAAUCAUGAUUUAAAAGAAUUAAAAUCAUAAAUAAUUGAUAAAAAUUAUGAAAAAUAAAAGGUCUUUGUUUUUGUCACGUGGAUGGGCUUAUAAUGAGGAUGAAGCAACAAUAAUGCAAGCCCAUUUAGAAACAUUUGGAAUUUUAGGCUUUUUCCUCUUUGUACCCAUUUGAAAAAUAAGUGAACUUGUAUACCACGCCAUUUCUCCAUAUCUCAAUAUUUUUUCAAGAUUGUAGACUUUUUGGAAACCUUAAAGAGUCUUCUAGCCAGUGUCUUUGGUCUCAUAUCAAAAUUAUUCUCCAUUUUCAUUUUAUGUCCUUUUGAAAAAAAUGUCUUUUUGUUGACUUUUGAAAAGGACCUAUAAUGUAUGAAGCCAUAUCUCUUAAACCAUUGACCUAUGAGCUCUGAUUCUUGGACCAUUGGAUAGAGGAAUGAAUUCCCUUCAAAAUAAGCUUUAGUGGGAAUUUUUCUGAUGAGGUAUGAAUAUUUGGUGAAUUUUUCAAAGUUUGAUUGACUUUUUUCAGCUCAUGCCCAAAAUAGUAACUUUUGACUUUUGACUCUUCUGAUGUUUCCUUGCAUCAUUAUGAUCAACCCUUGAUCACAUAAUGAUUUUAGGAUUAUGGGGAUGUUGCUGACCUUAUGGAACCACUUUGAGCCCUUGAUUCAGUGAUUUUUCUUUGAAUGAUCCAAACCCUAAUUCAGAGCCUUUGUAUAGGAGAGUGUGUUUUGGAGCUUUAUGUCUUGAUUUUGAGAUUGCAUAUGAGAAAUGGUAUGGGCAAAUUUUGGGGUAUGACAAAUAUCAUGCAUGCAAGACAUUAGGUGGAGAAAAUAAUACAUGCAAGAAUCAAUUUGGACAAGACUUAUGCAUGUUUGCUGAACACCUAUGGAAUCUCUUACACACUAGCCUUCCCCUUUUGCAUGUAUUCAGACUGACCCAUGCAUGUCUUUUAAGCAUGCAACAAGUCGCCAGUGUGGGUGGAGACAACAUUGAAAAAUUGAGAGUAGGCGCCAGGGGGUGGCGAUAGCAAUGAAAAUUUGAGAGUAGUCGCCAGUGGGCCUAGCGAAUUGCAUCGUGUACGAAUUUCAACAUUGCAUGCACUUGUCUUGUCAAAUUUAUUUAUAUGUAUUUAUUGUGUGAA